This 1444-nucleotide ribosomal RNA is filed under the name uncultured organism. Its description in RNAcentral is "16S ribosomal RNA". It matches the Rfam family "Bacterial small subunit ribosomal RNA". The record is from RNAcentral.
CUAGCUACAGGCUUAACACAUGCAAGUCGAGGGGCAGCAUGGUCUUAGCUUGCUAAGGCCGAUGGCGACCGGCGCACGGGUGAGUAACACGUAUCCAACCUGCCGUCUACUCUUGGACAGCCUUCUGAAAGGAAGAUUAAUACAAGAUGGCAUCAUGAGUCCGCAUGUUCACAUGAUUAAAGGUAUUCCGGUAGACGAUGGGGAUGCGUUCCAUUAGAUAGUAGGCGGGGUAACGGCCCACCUAGUCUUCGAUGGAUAGGGGUUCUGAGAGGAAGGUCCCCCACAUUGGAACUGAGACACGGUCCAAACUCCUACGGGAGGCAGCAGUGAGGAAUAUUGGUCAAUGGGCGAGAGCCUGAACCAGCCAAGUAGCGUGAAGGAUGACUGCCCUAUGGGUUGUAAACUUCUUUUAUAAAGGAAUAAAGUCGGGUAUGGAUACCCGUUUGCAUGUACUUUAUGAAUAAGGAUCGGCUAACUCCGUGCCAGCAGCCGCGGUAAUACGGAGGAUCCGAGCGUUAUCCGGAUUUAUUGGGUUUAAAGGGAGCGUAGAUGGAUGUUUAAGUCAGUUGUGAAAGUUUGCGGCUCAACCGUAAAAUUGCAGUUGAUACUGGAUAUCUUGAGUGCAGUUGAGGCAGGCGGAAUUCGUGGUGUAGCGGUGAAAUGCUUAGAUAUCACGAAGAACUCCGAUUGCGAAGGCAGCCUGCUAAGCUGCAACUGACAUUGAGGCUCGAAAGUGUGGGUAUCAAACAGGAUUAGAUACCCUGGUAGUCCACACGGUAAACGAUGAAUACUCGCUGUUUGCGAUAUACUGCAAGCGGCCAAGCGAAAGCGUUAAGUAUUCCACCUGGGGAGUACGCCGGCAACGGUGAAACUCAAGGGAAUUGACGGGGGCCCGCACAAGCGGAGGAACAUGUGGUUUAAUUCGAUAAUACGCGAGGAACCUUACCCGGGCUUAAAUUGCAGAUGAAUUACGGUGAAAGCCGUAAGCCGCAAGGCAUCUGUGAAGGUGCUGCAUGGUUGUCGUCAGCUCGUGCCGUGAGGUGUCGGCUUAAGUGCCAUAACGAGCGCAACCCUUGUUGUCAGUUACUAACAGGUUCCGCUGAGGACUCUGACAAGACUGCCAUCGUAAGAUGUGAGGAAGGUGGGGAUGACGUCAAAUCAGCACGGCCCUUACGUCCGGGGCUACACACGUGUUACAAUGGGGGGUACAGAGGGCCGCUACCACGCGAGUGGAUGCCAAUCCCCAAAACCUCUCUCAGUUCGGACUGGAGUCUGCAACCCGACUCCACGAAGCUGGAUUCGCUAGUAAUCGCGCAUCAGCCACGGCGCGGUGAAUACGUUCCCGGGCCUUGUACACACCGCCCGUCAAGCCAUGGGAGCCGGGGGUACCUGAAGUGCGUAACCGCGAGGAGCGCCCUAGGGUAAAACUGGUGACUGGGGCUAA